GCCCGGAUGGUCUAGUGGUAUGUCUUCUCUCCGUCUGCAAAUUCCAGACCUCGCACUAACUUGUCUCCUCUCAGGUAUGAUUCUCGCUUUGGGAUAUUCACAUCUUAAAUGCGAGAGGCCCCGCGUUCGAAUCGCGGUUCGGGCC
Aspergillus sclerotiicarbonarius CBS 121057 is the source of this 145-nucleotide non-coding RNA. The record is from the annotation of a GenBank genome assembly. Lineage: Eukaryota; Fungi; Ascomycota; Eurotiomycetes; Eurotiales; Aspergillaceae.